This 503-nucleotide ribosomal RNA is filed under the name uncultured bacterium. Its description in RNAcentral is "partial 16S ribosomal RNA". It matches the Rfam family "Bacterial small subunit ribosomal RNA", at positions 30 to 523 of the family's 1533-position model. The record is from RNAcentral.
AUUGAACGCUGGCGGCAUGCUUUACACAUGCAAGUCGAACGGCAGCAUGGGUGCUUGCACCUGAUGGCGAGUGGCGAACGGGUGAGUAAUGUAUCGGAACAUAUCCGCAAGUGGGGGAUAACGUAGCGAAAGUUACGCUAAUACCGCAUAUUCCCUGAGGGGGAAAGGAGGGGAUCCGCAAGGACCUUUCGCUUACGGAGUGGCCGAUAUCAGAUUAGCUAGUUGGUGGGGUAAAGGCCUACCAAGGCGACGAUCUGUAGCGGGUCUGAGAGGAUGAUCCGCCACACUGGGACUGAGACACGGCCCAGACUCCUACGGGAGGCAGCAGUGGGGAAUUUUGGACAAUGGGGGCAACCCUGAUCCAGCCAUGCCGCGUGAGUGAAGAAGGCCUUCGGGUGUAAAGCUCUUUCAGCUGGAAAAAAAUCGCAUCACCUAAUACGUGGUGUGGAUGACGGUACCAGCAGAAUAAGCACCGGCAAACUCUGUGCCAGCAGCCGCCGUAA